This 432-nucleotide ribosomal RNA is filed under the name uncultured bacterium. Its description in RNAcentral is "partial 16S ribosomal RNA". It matches the Rfam family "Bacterial small subunit ribosomal RNA", at positions 29 to 506 of the family's 1533-position model. The record is from RNAcentral.
AGCGAACGCUGGCGGCAGGCUUAACACAUGCAAGUCGAGCGGGCCUUUCGGGGUCAGCGGCGGACGGGUGAGUAACGCGUGGGAACGCGCCCUCUGGUUCGGAAUAACUCAGGGAAACUUGAGCUAAUACCGGAUACGCCCUUUUGGGGAAAGGCUUGCUGCCGGAGGAUCGGCCCGCGUCUGAUUAGCUAGUUGGUGAGGUAACGGCUCACCAAGGCGACGAUCAGUAGCUGGUCUGAGAGGAUGAUCAGCCACACUGGGACUGAGACACGGCCCAGACUCCUACGGGAGGCAGCAGUGGGGAAUAUUGGACAAUGGGCGCAAGCCUGAUCCAGCCAUGCCGCGUGAGUGAUGAAGGCCUUAGGGUUGUAAAGCUCUUUUAUCCGGGACGAUAAUGACGGUACCGGAGGAAUAAGCCCCGGCUAACUUCGU